GACCUCAGAUCAGGCAAGACUACCCGCUGAAUUUAAGCAUAUCAAUAAGCGGAGGAAAAGAAACUAACAAGGAUUCCCCCAGUAACGGCGAGUGAAGCGGGAAG
RNAcentral lists this ribosomal RNA (104 nucleotides) under Zoanthus gigantus. RNAcentral describes it as "partial 28S ribosomal RNA". It matches the Rfam family "Eukaryotic large subunit ribosomal RNA", at positions 1 to 105 of the family's 3401-position model. Lineage: Eukaryota; Metazoa; Cnidaria; Anthozoa; Zoantharia; Zoanthidae. The record is from RNAcentral.